Non-coding RNA from Pristis pectinata (smalltooth sawfish), 2395 nucleotides. Lineage: Eukaryota; Metazoa; Chordata; Chondrichthyes; Rhinopristiformes; Pristidae. The record is from the annotation of a RefSeq genome assembly.
AGGCAGUCGGCGCUGAGGUCUAGAACCCUCUCUGUUUAACGGAUUCUCAGGUCGUAAAGGAACAAUGAACGUGUUCUGGCUUUCGAUAUUUUUAGCUUGGUUACCGAAUGUCUUCAGUGCAUCGAUAGAACAGACACCAAGAGAGGUAACAAAAGAAGCAGGUGACACUCUGACAAUCAACUGCGUUGUCCGUGAUAUACCUGCUGGCUGCAAUCUAAAUAGCAUAGGCUGGGCCCGCCAACGUCCAGGUCAAACGGAUAGCCAAUAUCUAUCGAUUGGAGGACGAUAUGCUGAAUCAUUCAACCAGGGAGCAAAGUCUUCUUCCCUGACGAUCAGCAAGUUGACUGUUGAAGACACUGCCACGUAUUAUUGCUGUGAUGGAUACCACAGAAGUAAAUCAUUGUGUAUUUAUGACGUUGGUGGACCUGGCACAACGCUGACGGUGAAACCUGUGAAACAACCGACUCCACCAACCAUCAAUCUCGUCUACUCUGCAACCGACGAACAAAGAGAAAAGGGAUUUGUGAAACUGAUUUGUCUCAUCAGCGAAUACGAGCCAGAAAAUAUCAGAGUGAGCUGGCAGAGUAACGGACAAGCCGUACAUUCUGGGUUUACUACCACGUCCCCCGCUAAAAAUUCCGACGGAACGUUUACCUCCACAAGUGUCUUCAAGGUACCGCUGAAGGAAUGGGCCAGCGGUUCCGUGUAUUCCUGCCAAGUAUCGCACUCUGAAACCAGAAGCAACAUUCACAAAGACAUACGAGUUGAGUCAGACCUCGCAAUAUUUCUCAGUAAUCCGACUGUUGAAGAAAUUUGGAUCAACAAAACCGCGACCCUGCUGUGUGAAGUGAUCGCCACAACUUCAGACGAGGUUCUGAUAUCUUGGACAGUGGAUGGGAAGGAAAGGAUUGUUGGUGUGGAAAUCCAACAAGCAACAAAGGUCGGGAACCAGUACUUGACAACCGGCCGUUUGACCAGCAGUGUGGCGGAGUGGGACAGUGGGACAGAAUAUUCGUGCUCGGCGCAGCAAAAUCAUUCAAGUGCUCCGAUAUCAAAACGGACAGGGAAGACAAAAGCCAAACCAGUGGAACCAAAGCUCCGACUCUUGCCUCCGUCUCUAGAGGAGAUUCAAACGGCGCGCACUGCUACACUCACAUGCUUGAUAACAGGGUUCUAUCCCGACAACAAAACCAUUUACUGGCAGAAAGGCGGAGCCUCAUUCCUCUCGAACGCUACCAUCUUCCCCACAGCACUUCAACAGGACAUGACUUUCAGCACAAAAAGUCUCCUCCAUUUGACUACAGACGAAUGGAAUAAGGACGCAAAAUACUCAUGUGUCGUCUUGCACCCACCUUCAAAAUCCACUGUGAUGAGAAGCAUCAAUACCACGAAAGAAGAUUGCCAUGCACCCUACAUUAGUGCCACCAUACAAAAACCAUCCUUUGAAGAGAUUUGGACACAUAAGAGAGCAACCGUUGUUUGUGAAGUGGUUUACGCCAAUUUACAAAACCUCAACGUCUCCUGGCGAGUGAAUGGAAGUCGUAGAAUGGAUGGAGUAGAGACUCACGGUCCUGAGUCGAGGGGAAGUAAAUACACCAUCGUCAGCAAGCUGAAGGUCUGCGUGGAGGAGUGGAACAGUGGAUUUCAAUACCUGUGCUUCGUAGAAGACAGCGAACAGCCAACACCAUUGAACAUCUCCACAAAAAAAUCUAAGGUUACUGAAAUGCAACGUCCCAAUGUCCACUUACUGCACCCAUCAUCGGACGAGAUUCAAGCCGAGAAAACAGCGACCCUACUUUGCCUAGCCACCGGCUUUUACCCAGAUGACAUAUACAUAGCCUGGAUGUCCAAUGACACUUACCUGGAUUCGGGAUAUUCCAUCCAAUCUGACACGGAUAAGGAAAGCGGCUACAGCUCACUUGCCAGCAAACUGAGGGUGACAGCAGAGGACUGGGAGAAGGGGACCACCUUCAGCUGUUUGGUUGGACAUCCAUCCCUCCCAACGAAUUUAGUCAGAAGUAUAAAUAAAUCUCACGGUAAACCUACUUUCGUUAAUGUGUCACUCGUUUUAACGGACAGUUUUAAAUCCUGCGUCUAAUUAUUCGUGAUCUUUGUAAGUGUUGUCUUGUUAAGUUCGUAACUGCUUGAGCUGCCGAGUAGGUAAAUUCCAUAUUUAUCAAACGCCACAGUCCCCCUUCAAAUUAUCCAACAGCUGUUGAAAUAUUUCAGUAAUCUCAUCAGUCAGAGAAAAUUGUGAUGAACAACCCAUAACGUUGCAACGGUUUUUGACGCUGAAAAUGCUUCGUAGAAGUUAGCCAGCUAUUGAAUAGAUAGGAGAUGGUGAUUUAUCCUGUAUGCAGCUUUACAUUGAAAUAAAUGCAGAAUGAAAAUCUUU